This 244-nucleotide ribosomal RNA is filed under the name uncultured bacterium. RNAcentral's name for it is "partial 16S ribosomal RNA". It matches the Rfam family "Bacterial small subunit ribosomal RNA", at positions 89 to 334 of the family's 1533-position model. The record is from RNAcentral.
UGGCGACCGGCGCACGGGUGCGUAACGCGUAUGCAACCUACCUUUAACAGGGGGAUAACACUGAGAAAUUGGUACUAAUACCCCAUAAUAUCAUAGAAGGCAUCUUUUAUGGUUGAAAAUUCCGGUGGUUAGAGAUGGGCAUGCGUUGUAUUAGCUAGUUGGUGGGGUAACGGCUCACCAAGGCGACGAUACAUAGGGGGACUGAGAGGUUAACCCCCCACACUGGUACUGAGACACGGACCAG